RNAcentral lists this transfer RNA (73 nucleotides) under Ornithorhynchus anatinus (platypus). It matches the Rfam family "tRNA". From Rfam's summary of the family: Transfer RNA (tRNA) molecules are approximately 80 nucleotides in length. Their secondary structure includes four short double-helical elements and three loops (D, anti-codon, and T loops). The record is from Rfam by way of RNAcentral. Lineage: Eukaryota; Metazoa; Chordata; Mammalia; Monotremata; Ornithorhynchidae.
AGCAGAGUGGUCUAGUGGUCAGACCCUGGGCUUGGAAGUCAGAAGGACUUGGGUUCUCAUCCCUGCUCUGCCA